RNAcentral lists this ribosomal RNA (465 nucleotides) under Vreelandella stevensii. Its description in RNAcentral is "partial 16S ribosomal RNA". It matches the Rfam family "Bacterial small subunit ribosomal RNA", at positions 338 to 795 of the family's 1533-position model. Lineage: Bacteria; Pseudomonadati; Pseudomonadota; Gammaproteobacteria; Oceanospirillales; Halomonadaceae. The record is from RNAcentral.
CCUACGGGUGGCAGCAGUGGGGAAUAUUGGACAAUGCGGGCAACCCUGAUCCAGCCAUGCCGCGUGUGUGAAGAAGGCCCUCGGGUUGUAAAGCACUUUCAGUGAGGAAGAACGCCUGGUGGUUAAUACCCAUCAGGAAAGACAUCACUCACAGAAGAAGCACCGGCUAACUCCGUGCCAGCAGCCGCGGUAAUACGGAGGGUGCGAGCGUUAAUCGGAAUUACUGGGCGUAAAGCGCGCGUAGGUGGCUUGAUAAGCCGGUUGUGAAAGCCCCGGGCUCAACCUGGGAACGGCAUCCGGAACUGUCAAGCUAGAGUGCAGGAGAGGAAGGUAGAAUUCCCGGUGUAGCGGUGAAAUGCGUAGAGAUCGGGAGGAAUACCAGUGGCGAAGGCGGCCUUCUGGACUGACACUGACACUGAGGUGCGAAAGCGUGGGUAGCAAACAGGAUUAGAUACCCCUGUAGUC